This 612-nucleotide small RNA is filed under the name Pan troglodytes (chimpanzee). RNAcentral describes it as "processed transcript". Lineage: Eukaryota; Metazoa; Chordata; Mammalia; Primates; Hominidae. The record is from RNAcentral.
GACAAAAGUCUGAGGCUGGUGGAGACUUAAUCACCUUUAUCAGUGAUUACAGCGGUGGGGAAUGCAACUCACUUCCAGACAUUCUAGAAUCUUUGGAAUCCACAGUGCUCUGCAGGAGGAAGCAAGAGCCUCUUGAAAAACUUACCACCAAACUUCGUGAAAUCACCCUGGCCUUCUUCAACAAAAACCUCUUUAACAGCACUAAAACACAGUUAAAAGAAUUGUUUGAGGCGAAGAGAUGCUGGUUUGUUGAAUCAGUUGCAAGAGCUUGACAAGCAGAUAAGUGACCUGAGACUGGAUGUAGAAAAGACAUCUGAAGAGCACCUGGAGACAGACAGUCGGCCUAGCUCAGGGUUUUAUGAGCUGAGUGAUGGGGCUUCAGGAUCCCUUUCCAAUUCCUCUAACUCGGUGUUCAGUGAGUGUUUAUCCAGUUGUCAUUCCAGCACCUGCUUUUGCAGCCCCUUGGAGGCGACCUUGAGUCUCUCAGAUGGUUGCCCCAAAUCUGCAGAUGUGAAUCCCAAGUACCAGUGUGAUCUGGUGUCUAAAAACGGGAAUGAUGUAUAUCGCUAUCCCAGUCCACUUCAUGCUGUGGCUGUGCAGAGCCCAAUGUUU